GAUGAAGAACGCAGCGAAAUGCGAUAAGUAAUGUGAAUUGCAGAAUUCAGUGAAUCAUCGAAUCUUUGAACGCACAUUGCGCCCGCCAGUAUUCUGGCGGGCAUGCCUGUUCGAGCGUCAUUUCAACCAUCAAGCCCCCGGCUUGUGUUGGGGACCUGCGGCUGCCGCAGGCCCUGAAAAGCAGUGGCGGGCUCGCUGUCACACCGAGCGUAGUAGCAUACAUCUCGCUCUGGGCGUGCUGCGGGUUCCGGCCGUUAAACCACCUUCAUACCCCAAGGUUGACCUCGGAUCAGGUAGGAAGACCCGCUGAACUUAAGCAUAUCAAUAAGCGGAGGA
Molecule: unclassified non-coding RNA, 336 nt
Filed under: soil metagenome
Description: partial contains 5.8S ribosomal RNA, internal transcribed spacer 2, and large subunit ribosomal RNA
Rfam family: 5.8S ribosomal RNA (bases 1-120)
Source: RNAcentral